RNAcentral lists this ribosomal RNA (484 nucleotides) under uncultured bacterium. Its description in RNAcentral is "partial 16S ribosomal RNA". It matches the Rfam family "Bacterial small subunit ribosomal RNA", at positions 30 to 507 of the family's 1533-position model. The record is from RNAcentral.
AUUGAACGCUGGCGGCAGGCCUAACACAUGCAAGUCGAGCGGAUGAAGGGAGCUUGCUCCUGGAUUCAGCGGCGGACGGGUGAGUAAUGCCUAGGAAUCUGCCUGGUCGUGGGGGAUAACGUCCGGAAACGGGCGCUAAUAUCGCAUACGUCCUGAGGUAGAAAGUGGGGGAUCUUCGGUCCUCACGCUAUCAGAUGAGCCUAGGUCGGAUUAGCUAGUUGGUGGGGUAAAGGCCUACCAAGGCGACGAUCCGUAACUGGUCUGAGAGGAUGAUCAGUCACACUGGAACUGAGACACGGUCCAGACUCCUACGGGAGGCAGCAGUGGGGAAUAUUGGACAAUGGGCGAAAGCCUGAUCCAGCCAUGCCGCGUGUGUGAAGAAGGUCUUCGGAUUGUAAAGCACUUUAAGUUGGGAGGAAGGGCAGUAAGUUAAUACCUUGCUGUUUUGACGUUACCAACAGAAUAAGCACCGGCUAACUUCGUG